This 492-nucleotide ribosomal RNA is filed under the name uncultured bacterium. RNAcentral's name for it is "partial 16S ribosomal RNA". It matches the Rfam family "Bacterial small subunit ribosomal RNA", at positions 29 to 507 of the family's 1533-position model. The record is from RNAcentral.
AGUGAACGCUGGCGGUAGGCCUAACACAUGCAAGUCGAACGGCAGCACAGUAAGAGCUUGCUCUUACGGGUGGCGAGUGGCGGACGGGUGAGGAAUACAUCGGAAUCUACUUUUUCGUGGGGGAUAACGUAGGGAAACUUACGCUAAUACCGCAUACGACCUACGGGUGAAAGCAGGGGAUCUUCGGACCUUGCGCGAUUGAAUGAGCCGAUGUCGGAUUAGCUAGUUGGCGGGGUAAAGGCCCACCAAGGCGACGAUCCGUAGCUGGUCUGAGAGGAUGGUCAGCCACACUGGAACGGAGACACGGUCCAGACUCCUACGGGAGGCAGCAGUGGGGAAUAUUGGACAAUGGGCGGAGGCAUGCUCCAGCCAUACCGCGUGGGUGAAGAAGGCCUUCGGGUUGUAAAGCCCUUUUGUUGGGAAAGAAAAGCAGCAGGUUAAUACCCCGCUGUUCUGACGGUACCCAAAUAAUAAGCACCGGCUAACUUCGUG